CAGAAGGGGACCCUUGAGUGGUUCUCACCCCGUGAGGUGAGGGGCCAGAGGGGCCGCGGGGGACCCUGGGAGAGAAGAGGAUCUGGAAGAAGAGGGGCUCUGGCCCCGGCCCUGCUUUGAUGUGAGCAGUUCUUGCUCCCUGGGUUUCCAGGAAACGGUCGGUUUCAAGUGAGGUUUGAAGAGUCCAAAGCUCCAAUGAAAACAACCAAACAAACCUCUCGAAGGGCCUCUGGACACACUUGGUGAUUGCUAAGGGCACAGAGACAGGCCUCUGUCCUGCAGGAGCUGGGGCUACCGAAAUGCAAUCACUCAACACAGCUGAACUAUGACAGUGGGAAGUCGGAUUCGUUCCCUGCUCGGCAUUUAAUCUUAAUAACAUUUUAUCUUGGACGACAAG
This 397-nucleotide long non-coding RNA is filed under the name Ictidomys tridecemlineatus (thirteen-lined ground squirrel). RNAcentral's name for it is "lncRNA (ENSSTOG00000030508.1)". Lineage: Eukaryota; Metazoa; Chordata; Mammalia; Rodentia; Sciuridae. The record is from RNAcentral.